This 104-nucleotide microRNA precursor is filed under the name Marmota monax (woodchuck). Lineage: Eukaryota; Metazoa; Chordata; Mammalia; Rodentia; Sciuridae. The record is from RNAcentral.
AGUAGGCUUGCCAGCUCAUAUGGCAAGUGUAUCUAUAACUUUAUCAGAAAUUGCCAGACUCUUUUCCAGAGUAACUGUACCAUUUUUUCAUUGCUAUAUGAGAG